This 305-nucleotide ribosomal RNA is filed under the name uncultured bacterium. Its description in RNAcentral is "bacterial SSU rRNA". It matches the Rfam family "Bacterial small subunit ribosomal RNA", at positions 334 to 631 of the family's 1533-position model. The record is from RNAcentral.
UUUCCCUACGGGACGCAGCAGUAGGGAAUCUUCCACAAUGGACGAAAGUCUGACGCAGCGACGCCGCGUGAGGGAUGAAGGUUUUCGGAUCGUAAACCUCUGUCAGGAGGGAAGAAAGCGCAUGGCGCCAAUCAGCCAUGCGUUGACGGUACCUCCAAAGGAAGCGCCGGCUAACUCCGUGCCAGCAGCCGCGGUAAUACGGAGGGCGCGAGCGUUAAUCGGAAUUACUGGGCGUAAAGCGCGCGUAGUCUGUUGUGUAAGUUGGGGGUGAAAUCCCACGGCUCAACCGUGGAACAGCCCUUGAU